CACGUAGGGGGGCGAGCGUUGUCCGGAUUUAUUGGGCGUAAAGAGCUCGUAGGCGGCUAAGUAAGUCGGGUGUGAAAACUCCAGGCUCAACCUGGAGACGCCACCUGAUACUGCUGUGGCUAGAGUCCGGUAGGGGAGCAUGGAAUUCCUGGUGUAGCGGUGAAAUGCGCAGAUAUCAGGAGGAACACCAGUGGCGAAGGCGGUGCUCUGGGCCGGAACUGACGCUGAGGAGCGAAAGCGUGGGGAGCAAACAGG
This 255-nucleotide ribosomal RNA is filed under the name uncultured bacterium. RNAcentral's name for it is "partial 16S ribosomal RNA". It matches the Rfam family "Bacterial small subunit ribosomal RNA", at positions 524 to 776 of the family's 1533-position model. The record is from RNAcentral.